This is a small nucleolar RNA of Grammomys surdaster, 132 nucleotides long. RefSeq annotates it as small nucleolar RNA SNORA17. The record is from RefSeq and is a predicted model, not a curated record. NCBI's taxonomy places the organism in Eukaryota, Metazoa, Chordata, Mammalia, Rodentia, Muridae. The transcript has a single exon.
CCUUCACCCAGAGGCAUUGCAGGUGUGGCUGCUGUGUCACAUGUUCAUCAGUAAGAAGCAGAAAGGGGACAGGCUAUUUCUAAGCUCAGUGUUCUGACCCAUAAACACCUGAAUAAUUAACAGUCUAACAUU